Molecule: ribosomal RNA, 412 nt
Filed under: uncultured eukaryote
Lineage: Eukaryota
Description: bacterial SSU rRNA
Rfam family: Eukaryotic small subunit ribosomal RNA
Source: RNAcentral
AACGGGGAAUCAGGGUUCGAUUCCGGAGAGGGAGCCCCGAGAAACGGCUACCACUUCCAAGGAAGGCAGCAGGCGCGCAACUUACCCUAAUCUCGAUUCGAGGAGGUAGUGACAAGAAAUACCGAUUGCGGGGACCCCUACGGGUGCCGCGUUCGGAAUGAGUACGAUUCGAACCACCUAACGAGGAACGAUCGGAGGGCAAGUCUGGUGCCAGCAGCCGCGGUAAUUCCAGCUCCAAUAGCGUACGUUAAAGUUGCUGCAGUUAAAAAGCUCGUAGUUGAACGUUCGGGUUCCGCGGGACGGGGCCGCCCCGCGAGGGACGGCGCCGCCCCGGGGCUCGUGAUAUCUUAUCUCGCCGCCCGUCGCGAGGCGGACGGAGGGAUGGAUGAGGUUACCUGGAAAAAUCGGGGCC